Molecule: transfer RNA, 75 nt
Filed under: Cardiobacteriaceae bacterium
Lineage: Bacteria; Pseudomonadati; Pseudomonadota; Gammaproteobacteria; Cardiobacteriales; Cardiobacteriaceae
Description: tRNA-Glu
Rfam family: tRNA
About the family: Transfer RNA (tRNA) molecules are approximately 80 nucleotides in length.
Source: RNAcentral
GUUCCCUUCGUCUAGCGGUUAGGACAUCGCCCUUUCACGGCGGUAACAGGGGUUCGAACCCCCUAGGGAACGCCA